RNAcentral lists this long non-coding RNA (1034 nucleotides) under Heterocephalus glaber (naked mole-rat). RNAcentral's name for it is "lncRNA (ENSHGLG00100044558.1)". Lineage: Eukaryota; Metazoa; Chordata; Mammalia; Rodentia; Bathyergidae. The record is from RNAcentral.
AAACGCACAGCAAACUCCUCACCUCUUAUCUCCCCUUCAGUUCCUCUUUUCUCCUCUACAAUAGAUCAAGGAAGAUGUUUUUGCUCUUAGCUACCCAUUAAUCAUUAAUAAUAAAUACUUAUAUUUUUAGAGUCAUCACACUACCAAGGCGUUCACCAAGGCAUUUCCGGACAAAAGUUUGAGAAAGUGGCAGGGCAGGCACCAUUAUCACUCGUUAACAGAGGCCUGGCAAGCGGCCUGUGAGGGCGCAGCUAGAACGUGGGCGCGCCUGACUCAGACGCCCUAAACCCUGCACGUCCUCCAGUAAGGCACAUUCCGCAUCACCUUGGCCUUGGGACUCGGAGCUUGAGGACAGAGGAGAAAGAGGAAAGGGCCGUCCAGCUCCUGUUCCUUCCUGUCCUUCCGCGAGACAACGGCGCCCUGCGGUAACGGUUGAAGAAAGAGGGUAGCUGAAGUUCAUCUCCUAAAACUGGCUCGGCGUGCAGCAGGGACAAAGCCACUCAGCUAAGCGGGUGGCGGCAGCGCAGCGUCCCAGGCUUCCUCGUCCAACCGAGGUUGCUCGCCUUCCGCAACUCCAUAGCCCCACCUGCUGGACGCUGCUUUGCAUACAGCCUGGCCGCGCGCACCUCGCUCAGGACUGCUGCUCUCUGGGAAUCUUCAGCCACCGCCCUCAGAAACCCCCAGAAAUGAGAUAGAAUAACAAGAUGUCCACUCUACCAGAUGGAAAGAAUUGGGACUUUGGAAACUUCUAUAAAUUUCAGAACUAGGGGGAUUAAAGACAGCAGCAUCCCAAGUAAACUGAUGAAGAAAUGAAGUUCCAGAAAAUCAAACUAAGCAGCCACAGAGAACAGGCCUUCAGCCGUACGAAGCAAAUGCCCCAAAUAGCUGCUUCUGCAUGAACCAGAGUCCAGAAUGAGAGCUGCAUGGAUCAGACCUAAACACUACCCACAGCCAGAGCAACCAGAACCAACUCACAAAGCCACAGACAAGAAAUAAAAGUUUGUGGUUGCAAGUCAUUGAGAUUGUAGGAUUUG